AACGAACGCUGGCGGCAUGCCUAACACAUGCAAGUCGAACGAGACCUUCGGGUCUAGUGGCGCACGGGUGCGUAACGCGUGGGAAUCUGCCCUUGGGUUCGGAAUAACAGCGAGAAAUUGCUGCUAAUACCGGAUGAUGACGUAAGUCCAAAGAUUUAUCGCCCAAGGAUGAGCCCGCGUAGGAUUAGCUAGUUGGUGAGGUAAAGGCUCACCAAGGCGACGAUCCUUAGCUGGUCUGAGAGGAUGAUCAGCCACACUGGGACUGAGACACGGCCCAGACUCCUACGGGAGGCAGCAGUGGGGAAUAUUGGACAAUGGGCGAAAGCCUGAUCCAGCAAUGCCGCGUGAGUGAUGAAGGCCUUAGGUUGUAAAGCUCUUUACCCGGGAUGAUAAUGACAGUACCGGGAGAAUAAGCUCCGGCUAACUCCGUGCCAGCAGCCGCGGUAAU
This 448-nucleotide ribosomal RNA is filed under the name uncultured bacterium. Its description in RNAcentral is "bacterial SSU rRNA". It matches the Rfam family "Bacterial small subunit ribosomal RNA", at positions 29 to 524 of the family's 1533-position model. The record is from RNAcentral.